CAAUCUCGUAAUUCGAAAUAAAUGAAGGCAGAUAUUAAAUUACGGUAACCAAAGGAUAAAUCGUUAGUUCAGAAUGAGGACUAAAACAUACGCGACGUUCUUGAUCACAGAUGGCGGCACUCGUAUAUUAUUCGCUUCAUGCAAUUUGUAUAUCAAUAGAGAAAAUACGCAGCUUCUUUGCAGUCUUCUUUCUUGUUGCUUGAAAGAGUUUCAAUCACCACAAUCAUAUUAAUUAAUUCAUCACUCAAACUGACAAAAUAUACGAUUAAGCUCAGUUACGUAAGUUUAAUCCAAUAUAAUAAUUGGAAAAUAGAAGUCAUAAGAUAAAUCAAUUAAAACACAAAUCUGUAUUACGCUAUACAUACGCAACUUAAGAUUUGAUUUUAUUUUUAUCGUACAAGAGUAAAAUUAAUUCCCCGCGUGAAACUUACGAAAUCUCCUACGAAAUUCGAUAUAAAUCCACUUUUCUCUGCCCUCUGCCGCCUUCGCCCGAUGCGAAACAUGUUUCCAUGUGAGAGAGUGGAUGGGCCAUAGCAGAGGACGAGAAGGCGUAAGUGCUUCUUGUUGGAAAAAUUAUAUGAUAGCCGAGAGAGCGCAAGCUUUUUCCCCCCUCGACUCUGUUCUGCUCUUUUCCCUCCAGCCUCGGAUUAGAAAAUAUGAUUAGCUUCGUGCCGGGAAGUUUAUUCGGGGGUAACGGCAGGGCGGAAAACGGGAAAAGGGGUGGUGGCCGUUCGUACCCUUCGGAUUUUAUGGAUGACCAUGGUCCCUUAUGUGUCUCGAUACAACGGCGCUUUCCAUGAAACGGUCUCUACACUGCUGCGUCUAAUUCGCACAACACGCCGAGCGAUUCCACGAGCUUUUAUCGUUAUUACACGUGUUUCUUUGAUAACGUCUCUUAGCUCGCCAAAUAAAUUACAGAGUGCAGCGAUAAUAAAUCACGGAUACCGUGGUGGUAAAAAAGCUUUAAAAAAAAAAAA
This 977-nucleotide long non-coding RNA is filed under the name Monomorium pharaonis (pharaoh ant). RNAcentral describes it as "uncharacterized LOC114254474". Lineage: Eukaryota; Metazoa; Arthropoda; Insecta; Hymenoptera; Formicidae. The record is from RNAcentral.